GGAAUUGAACAAAAUCAUGAUGCUGGAAUUUCGUACAAUUCCCUAUUCUUGAAUAGAGUGUCUAUUUCAAUAAUCGGAUCUCAUUUAAUUUGGGAUUAUUCUGCAAUAUAGGAUCGAAUUCUCUCUAAAAACAAUGUAAUUAAACUUUCAUAAAGGUAACAAAGAGGUAGAUCAAAAAAAUUAUACAUACCAUAUUAUUCUGCAAGCGACCUAGUUCAUUUAGUCAUCAUUUCGCUCAAUGUAUAUUUUUGUUUGAUGAGAUGAGCAUAUUUUUAAAAUUUGACAUACCUUGUACAUAGUCUCCCUUCAUACUACAGAACACUCCCACCACCUUGCACUGACCAUUGACAAAUUAAACCAUACACUAAUAAUAAUUCCUAUGGAAAUUAGAAGUCAAAUUUAGAAGAUGGCAUUGGUCAAAGUUAACUUGUCCGUCCGUAAAUCGCAGUGGUGGGGACCGACUGGGUUGAAGAAGAAGAAGAGAAGUCAAGCAUGAAAGAGAAGAACCAAUUAGAGUAGCUAAGGAGACCUGCCUGGAAAUCAAACAAGAAUGCUA
Molecule: long non-coding RNA, 556 nt
Filed under: Nicotiana benthamiana
Lineage: Eukaryota; Viridiplantae; Streptophyta; Magnoliopsida; Solanales; Solanaceae
Description: long non-coding RNA (NBEN_LNC037272)
Source: RNAcentral